This 445-nucleotide unclassified non-coding RNA is filed under the name uncultured Glomus. Its description in RNAcentral is "SSU rRNA". It matches the Rfam family "Eukaryotic small subunit ribosomal RNA", at positions 569 to 1015 of the family's 1831-position model. The record is from RNAcentral. Lineage: Eukaryota; Fungi; Glomeromycota; Glomeromycetes; Glomerales; Glomeraceae.
AGCAGCCGCGGUAAUUCCAGCUCCAAUAGCGUAUAUUAAAGUUGUUGCAGUUAAAAAGCUCGUAGUUGAAUUUCGGGGAUCAAUUUAUUGGUCGUGCAAUAGUACGUACUGGUAUUAUUGGUUUCCUACCUUCUGAUGAACCAUGAUGUAAUUAAUUUGGUGUUAUGGGGAAUCAGGACUGUUACUUUGAAAAAUUAGAGUGUUUAAAGCAGGCUCACGCUUGAAUACAUUAGCAUGGAAUAAUGAAAUAGGACGUUUGAUUUCUAUUUUGUUGGUUUCUAGGGAUCGACGUAAUGAUUAAUAGGGAUAGUUGGGGGGCAUUAGUAUUCAAUUGUCAGAGGUGAAAUUCUUGGAUUUAUUGAAGACUAACUACUGCGAAAGCAUUUGCCAAGGAUGUUUUCAUUAAUCAAGAACGAAAGUUAGGGAUCGAAAGACGAUCAGAUAC